RNAcentral lists this transfer RNA (76 nucleotides) under Caudoviricetes sp. Its description in RNAcentral is "tRNA-Gln". It matches the Rfam family "tRNA". Rfam says of the family: Transfer RNA (tRNA) molecules are approximately 80 nucleotides in length. Their secondary structure includes four short double-helical elements and three loops (D, anti-codon, and T loops). Further hydrogen bonds mediate the characteristic L-shaped molecular structure. tRNAs have two regions of fundamental functional importance: the anti-codon, which is responsible for specific mRNA codon recognition, and the 3' end, to which the tRNAs corresponding amino acid is attached (by aminoacyl-tRNA synthetases). tRNAs cope with the degeneracy of the genetic code in two manners: having more than one tRNA (with a specific anti-codon) for a particular amino acid; and 'wobble' base-pairing, i.e. permitting non-standard base-pairing at the 3rd anti-codon position. Lineage: Duplodnaviria; Heunggongvirae; Uroviricota; Caudoviricetes. The record is from RNAcentral.
UAUGGGGUACUCAAGUGGUUAAGAGGAUAGUCUUUGAAACUAUUAUUCGAGGGUUCAAACCCCUCUCCCAUAGCCA